RNAcentral lists this unclassified non-coding RNA (240 nucleotides) under soil metagenome. RNAcentral's name for it is "partial contains 5.8S ribosomal RNA, internal transcribed spacer 2, and large subunit ribosomal RNA". The record is from RNAcentral.
AACGCACGAGACCUGCGGACCUGCGGAAGGAUCAUUACCGAGUUUACAACUCCCAAACCCAAUGUGAACGUUACCAAACUGUUGCCUCGGCGGGAUCUCUGCCCCGGGUGCGUCGCAGCCCCGGACCAAGGCGCCCGCCGGAGGACCAACCAAAACUCUUUUGUAUACCCCCUCGCGGGUUUUUAUAUAUCUGAGCCAUCUCGGCGCCUCUCGUAGGCGUUUCGAAAAUGAAUCAAAACU